AUUGAACGCUGACGGCAGGCCUAACACAUGCAAGUCGAGCGGAUGAAGGGAGCUUGCUCCUGGAUUCAGCGGCGGACGGGUGAGUAAUGCCUAGGAAUCUGCCUGGUAGUGGGGGAUAACGUCCGGAAACGGGCGCUAAUACCGCAUACGUCCUGAGGGAGAAAGUGGGGGAUCUUCGGACCUCACGCUAUCAGAUGAGCCUAGGUCGGAUUAGCUAGUUGGUGGGGUAAAGGCCUACCAAGGCGACGAUCCGUAACUGGUCUGAGAGGAUGAUCAGUCACACUGGAACUGAGACACGGUCCAGACUCCUACGGGAGGCAGCAGUGGGGAAUAUUGGACAAUGGGCGAAAGCCUGAUCCAGCCAUGCCGCGUGUGUGAAGAAGGUCUUCGGAUUGUAAAGCACUUUAAGUUGGGAGGAAGGGCAAUAAGUUAAUACCUUGCUGUUUUGACGUUACCAACAGAAUAAGCACCGGCUAACUUCGUG
Molecule: ribosomal RNA, 484 nt
Filed under: uncultured bacterium
Lineage: Bacteria
Description: partial 16S ribosomal RNA
Rfam family: Bacterial small subunit ribosomal RNA
Source: RNAcentral